This 959-nucleotide ribosomal RNA is filed under the name Klebsiella pneumoniae. Its description in RNAcentral is "bacterial LSU rRNA". It matches the Rfam family "Bacterial large subunit ribosomal RNA", at positions 292 to 1258 of the family's 2925-position model. The record is from RNAcentral. Lineage: Bacteria; Pseudomonadati; Pseudomonadota; Gammaproteobacteria; Enterobacterales; Enterobacteriaceae.
GGGGAGCAGCCCAGAGUCUGAAUCAGCUUGUGUGUUAGUGGAACGGUCUGGAAAGUCCGACGGUACAGGGUGAUAGUCCCGUACACCAAAAUGCACAGGCUGUGAACUCGAAGAGUAGGGCGGGACACGUGGUAUCCUGUCUGAAUAUGGGGGGGACCAUCCUCCAAGGCUAAAUACUCCUGACUGACCGAUAGUGAACCAGUACCGUGAGGGAAAGGCGAAAAGAACCCCGGCGAGGGGAGUGAAAAAGAACCUGAAACCGUGUACGUACAAGCAGUGGGAGCACCUUCGGGUGUGACUGCGUACCUUUUGUAUAAUGGGUCAGCGACUUAUAUUCUGUAGCAAGGUUAACCGUAUAGGGGAGCCGCAGGGAAACCGAGUCUUAACUGGGCGUUAAGUUGCAGGGUAUAGACCCGAAACCCGGUGAUCUAGCCAUGGGCAGGUUGAAGGUUGGGUAACACUAACUGGAGGACCGAACCGACUAAUGUUGAAAAAUUAGCGGAUGACUUGUGGCUGGGGGUGAAAGGCCAAUCAAACCGGGAGAUAGCUGGUUCUCCCCGAAAGCUAUUUAGGUAGCGCCUCGUGAACUCAUCUUCGGGGGUAGAGCACUGUUUCGGCUAGGGGGUCAUCCCGACUUACCAACCCGAUGCAAACUACGAAUACCGAAGAAUGUUAUCACGGGAGACACACGGCGGGUGCUAACGUCCGUCGUGAAGAGGGAAACAACCCAGACCGCCAGCUAAGGUCCCAAAGUCAUGGUUAAGUGGGAAACGAUGUGGGAAGGCACAGACAGCCAGGAUGUUGGCUUAGAAGCAGCCAUCAUUUAAAGAAAGCGUAAUAGCUCACUGGUCGAGUCGGCCUGCGCGGAAGAUGUAACGGGGCUAAACCAUGCACCGAAGCUGCGGCAGCGACACUAUGUGUUGUUGGGUAGGGGAGCGUUCUGUAAGCCUGCGAAGGUG